Molecule: ribosomal RNA, 274 nt
Filed under: uncultured bacterium
Lineage: Bacteria
Description: partial 16S ribosomal RNA
Rfam family: Bacterial small subunit ribosomal RNA
Source: RNAcentral
UACGUAGGGUGCGAGCGUUAUCCGGAAUCAUUGGGCGUAAAGAGCUCGUAGGCGGUUCAGCAAGUCGGCUGUGAAAGUCCGAGGCUCAACCUCGGAAUUGCAGUCGAUACUGCUGUGACUCGAGUCCGGUAGAGGAGAAUGGAAUUCUCGGUGUAGCGGUGAAAUGCGCAGAUAUCGAGAGGAACACCAGUAGCGAAGGCGGUUCUCUGGGCCGGCACUGACGCUGAGGAGCGAAAGCGUGGGGAGCAAACAGGAUUAGAUACCCCAGUAGUCC